This 253-nucleotide ribosomal RNA is filed under the name uncultured bacterium. Its description in RNAcentral is "partial 16S ribosomal RNA". It matches the Rfam family "Bacterial small subunit ribosomal RNA", at positions 524 to 776 of the family's 1533-position model. The record is from RNAcentral.
UACGAAGGGGGCUAGCGUUGCUCGGAAUCACUGGGCGUAAAGCGCACGUAGGCGGACUCUUAAGUCAGGGGUGAAAUCCUGGAGCUCAACUCCAGAACUGCCUUUGAUACUGGGAGUCUUGAGUUCGGGAGAGGUGAGUGGAACUGCGAGUGUAGAGGUGAAAUUCGUAGAUAUUCGCAAGAACACCAGUGGCGAAGGCGGCCAACUGGUCCGGUUCUGACGCUGAGGCGCGAAAGCGUGGGGAGCAAACAGG